Molecule: long non-coding RNA, 2176 nt
Organism: Balaenoptera musculus (blue whale)
Lineage: Eukaryota; Metazoa; Chordata; Mammalia; Artiodactyla; Balaenopteridae
Exons: 5
Source: RefSeq, a predicted model, not a curated record
GUAAAUUCGUAGACGUGGAAUUCCUGGAUCAAAUGGUCACCAAUUGUUUCAGCAUCAUUUAUUGAAUAAUCCAACCUCCUUCCACUGAUUUGAAAUGGCAAGAACUGUCCUCCCACUAGAUAGGGUGUAGCUUCCCACAGGUACUCGGAGAAUUAAAGCUGUCUGGACUCAGUUCCUGGAAUUUUCUAGAAUGGUAUAAGUGUAAAAUGAGGAGAUAGAAGAUUGAGAGGGCCAGCGGAAGCGCGGAAGAGGGCUUCUUGUCCACUGCACGGUUGCCACCUAGUGACCAUUUUGAAUGGUGAUACUUGUUCUCAUCUCAGCCUGGUAGCCUGACCUUGACUGCUGAGUUCUGUGGUGCCUUCACAACUACAAGUCAUUCUCAUACGAAAUUUGAGUUUACCUAGUCUGCACCUUUGAGAGUUUUGUAACAAUAUGCAAAUUCAAGUUACCAUCAUGUUAUCUUGCUGACUAUCUCAUGUGACAAGACCAACAUUUGGGUUGCUUGCUUGUACCCUGGUUCUUCUGCCUAUUGUUCCCUCUGCGGCCGUCAAUCACACACAUGUGUAGUCAUGCAAAAGCUAUUUUGCCCUUUUUAUUUGUCUUGUGAAUGUCAUCAUUUGCUCCUUAUAGUGUUGUGUAUUGCUCAGUGAUAGAAAACUUUCCGUAACUGUAAACUUGUGUAAGUUUGGGUGAGAAUGGCAUCCAAGCAAAAAACCAAGGAGGUAGAUGAUAGAAAUGCAAGAAGAGUGAAGAGGUUAAGAAAGGUGGUGUCUAUAGCAAACAAAAUGAGAAUUCUUGAAAUGCUUGAUAAUGGUGAAACCAAGACCUCUGUAGGGCGUUUUUUUGUGUGUUAAUGAAUCAGUAAAGAAAAAUGAGAAAGCUAUUAGGGCCAAUGCAUCAAGGGGCACACCAGAAUCAUUGAGAAAAUCAGACAUAACUUGAAAUGCCAAAAUAGAGAAAAUGGAAAGAGAUUUGCAUUUGUGGCUUCUAAAACAUAGAAGCCUGAAUAAGCCUCUUUCCAUGUGUAUAAUCUGGCAGUGAGCAUCACAAAAAUGCAAGUUUAAAUUUUGAUCUGGAUGGAACAUUAUAACAUUUAUCAUAAUGGGUGGUUGGAUAGGUUUAAGAACUGCUAUGGUCUAUAUGAAAAGAAGUGGCUGGCAGAGGAAGCAGAUCAUGAAGCCACUGCAGAAUAUCCUGAAGAAACGGAUAGAGAAAAAUGGCUAUUUGCCUGAACAGGUCUUCAAUGCUGAUGAAACGGUCUUGUUCUGGAAACGCAUGCCUACUUGCACAUCUAUUGUAAAGGAUGAGAAAAGGACCAGAGAGUUCAAGCCUGGGAAAGAGAAGCUCAAAGUUCUUCUUUGUUCCAAUGCUUCUGGUGACUUUCUGACUAAACCCAUGUUGCUUCACAGAUUCCGAAAUUCUUGCCCUCUUAAAAGAAAAUGCCAGAAACACUUUUCUGUGUACCUGAAAGGAAACCAUAAAAUAUGGAUCACUGAGAAACUCUUUUUGGACUGGUUUUUGAAGUGUUUUGUUCCUGAGGUCAAACAAUAUUUAAACCCAAAACAUCUUGAAUUCAAAGUGUUGCUGAUUCUGGACAUGGCUCCCAGUGACAAAAGCGUGAUAGUAAAUGCUGAUCUUUGUGUUGAAGUCGUCUCCAUUCCCCCCAGUACGACUCCACUCCUUCAAUCCAUGCACUUGUGAGUAUAUUUGACUACCCGGCAGAUCUUAUGAGAGAGACAUCAGAAAUUACUCUGAAAGUAGCUUGGCAAAAUUUCUCCGUUUGUAACGCUUUAACUGUGGUAGAAGAAUCAGUGAGAGAAAUAAAACAAUCAAACCUUAAUGGAGCCUGGAAGAAACUUUGGAAUGAGGUUGUAACUGAUUCUGAAAGGUUCCUUCCAGUUGCAGAAGAAACUGAAAAUGUUGUAGUAUCUGCAAAACGUUUUGGUGGUGAAGGAUUUGAAGACAGUGAAUUAAGUGACAUUGCUGAACUGUAGAUUCUCACCCUCAGAAGACAGUUGAGAAAUAUUUCAGAGAUGUGAUCACAUCAAAAGUUGAUGAAAGAGGUCAGUAUAGGUUAACUUCAAGAACUUGAAGAAUGUUGAAGCACCCACUCUGCAAAUCAAAUUGCCGUGAUGAUUCAGAGAAAAGAGAUCCUUCGGUGGAAUAUUUAUUGACC